UUUAAGGUCUAAUCUGCCCUAUGAAAAGUUAAAUGGCCGCGGUACUCUGACCGUGCAAAGGUAGCAUAAUAAUUAGUUUUUUAAUUGAAAGCUGGAAUGAAUGAUUGGACGAGAAAAUUACUGUCUCAGUUUAAUUUAAUUAGAAUUUUAUUUUUAAGUAAAAAAGCUUAAAUUUUUUUAAAAGACGAGAAGACCCUAUAGAGUUUUAUAUUUAGUUACUUAUAAAUUUUAUGGUUUUUUUUUAUUUAUAUUUAUUUAAAUAUUUUAUUGGGGCGAUAGAAAAAUAAAAUUAACUUUUUUUUAACUAUUAACAUUUAUUUAUGAAAUUUUGAUCCAUUAUUUUUGAUUAUAAGAUUAAAUUACCUUAGGGAUAACAGCGUAAUUUUUUUUUAGAGUUCUUAUCGAAAAAAAAGAUUGCGACCUCGAUGUUGGAUUAAAAUUAAUGUUUGGUGUAGGAGCUAAAUAAUUAGGUCUGUUCGACCUUUAAAAUUUUACA
Molecule: ribosomal RNA, 496 nt
Filed under: Hyposerica sp. DA4339
Lineage: Eukaryota; Metazoa; Arthropoda; Insecta; Coleoptera; Scarabaeidae
Description: partial 16S large subunit ribosomal RNA
Rfam family: Bacterial large subunit ribosomal RNA
Source: RNAcentral